This 467-nucleotide ribosomal RNA is filed under the name uncultured bacterium. Its description in RNAcentral is "partial 16S ribosomal RNA". It matches the Rfam family "Bacterial small subunit ribosomal RNA", at positions 28 to 506 of the family's 1533-position model. The record is from RNAcentral.
GACGAACGCUGGCGGCGUGCUUAACACAUGCAAGUCGAACGGAAAGGCCCUGCUUUUGUGGGGUGCUCGAGUGGCGAACGGGUGAGUAACACGUGAGUAACCUGCCCUUGACUUUGGGAUAACUUCAGGAAACUGGGGCUAAUACCGGAUAGGAGCUCCUGCUGCAUGGUGGGGGUUGGAAAGUUUCGGCGGUUGGGGAUGGACUCGCGGCUUAUCAGCUUGUUGGUGGGGUAGUGGCUUACCAAGGCUUUGACGGGUAGCCGGCCUGAGAGGGUGACCGCCCACAUUGGGACUGAGAUACGGCCCAGACUCCUACGGGAGGCAGCAGUGGGGAAUAUUGCACAAUGGGCGGAAGCCUGAUGCAGCAACGCCGCGUGCGGGAUGACGGCCUUCGGGUUGUAAACCGCUUUCGCCUGUGACGAAGCGUGAGUGACGGUAAUGGGUAAAGAAGCACCGGCUAACUACGU